RNAcentral lists this transfer RNA (69 nucleotides) under Marmota marmota marmota (Alpine marmot). It matches the Rfam family "tRNA". From Rfam's summary of the family: Transfer RNA (tRNA) molecules are approximately 80 nucleotides in length. Their secondary structure includes four short double-helical elements and three loops (D, anti-codon, and T loops). Further hydrogen bonds mediate the characteristic L-shaped molecular structure. tRNAs have two regions of fundamental functional importance: the anti-codon, which is responsible for specific mRNA codon recognition, and the 3' end, to which the tRNAs corresponding amino acid is attached (by aminoacyl-tRNA synthetases). tRNAs cope with the degeneracy of the genetic code in two manners: having more than one tRNA (with a specific anti-codon) for a particular amino acid; and 'wobble' base-pairing, i.e. permitting non-standard base-pairing at the 3rd anti-codon position. RNAcentral also lists the same sequence under 1 other name. Lineage: Eukaryota; Metazoa; Chordata; Mammalia; Rodentia; Sciuridae. The record is from Rfam by way of RNAcentral.
GGAGUUGUGGCUUAGUGGUAGAGCACUUGCCUAGCGAGUAUGAGGCACUGGGUUUGAUUCUCAGCACCA